AAAUUAUUUUACGCGUCCCUAAACUUGAAUACUUGUUUGUUGAUGGAGUAUUGUGCUCGCUUUUUGAAAUGGAAGAUAUGCCGUCUUUGGUUGUGGCAUCGAUUGCAUGUUGGCAAAGUAUAUAUGAUUUCCCGUGGGCUGAUAUACUAAACAAACUAAGAGGGGUUCAAAAUCUUUCAAUAGAAAAUUUCCCAUUCACUUCACCUCUGCCCAUCUUUCCGAAUAUGAAGCAAUUGGAGUUGACUGGUAUAUGGCAAUCUGGACAAAUCAUUCAGUUUCUUGAGAGUUGUCCUGAGUUGAAGAUUUUGUGUAUUGAUUUUGUAGAGUG
Long non-coding RNA from Helianthus annuus (common sunflower), 328 nucleotides. RefSeq lists it as uncharacterized. The transcript has 2 exons. NCBI's taxonomy places the organism in Eukaryota, Viridiplantae, Streptophyta, Magnoliopsida, Asterales, Asteraceae. The record is from RefSeq and is a predicted model, not a curated record.